CCCUAGCCCCGAUUGUAAUGAAAAUCCUUUUAUGUUUUUUCUUUAAAAACAUAAAAGAUUAUAAUGAAAAGCGGGAAAUAGC
RNAcentral lists this small RNA (82 nucleotides) under Flavobacterium sp. FPG59. RNAcentral describes it as "Flavo-1 RNA". It matches the Rfam family "Flavo-1 RNA". The record is from Rfam by way of RNAcentral. Lineage: Bacteria; Pseudomonadati; Bacteroidota; Flavobacteriia; Flavobacteriales; Flavobacteriaceae.